This 495-nucleotide ribosomal RNA is filed under the name uncultured bacterium. RNAcentral's name for it is "partial 16S ribosomal RNA". It matches the Rfam family "Bacterial small subunit ribosomal RNA", at positions 28 to 523 of the family's 1533-position model. The record is from RNAcentral.
GAUGAACGCUGGCGGCGUGCUUAACACAUGCAAGUCGAGCGAAGCACUUAAGUUUGAUUCUUCGGAUGAGGACUUUUGUGGCUGAGCGGCGGACGGGUGAGUAACGCGUGGGUAACCUGCCUCAUACAGGGGGAUAACAGUUAGAAAUGGCUGCUAAUACCGCAUAAGACCACAGUACUGCAUGGUACAGUGGUAAAAACUCCGGUGGUAUGAGAUGGACCCGCGGCUGAUUAGGUAGUUGGUGAGGUAACGGCCCACCGAGCCGACGAUCAGUAGCAGACCUGAGAGGGUGACCGGCCACAUUGGGACUGAGACACGGCCCAGACUCCUACGGGAGGCAGCAGUGGGGAAUAUUGCACAAUGGGCGAAAGCCUGAUGCAGCGACGCCGCGUGAAGGAUGAAGUAUUUCGGUAUGUAAACUUCUAUCAGCAGGGAAGAAAAUGACGGUACCUGACUAAGAAGCCCCGGCUAACUACGUGCCAGCCGCCGCAGUAA